Molecule: small RNA, 526 nt
Filed under: Fusarium solani
Lineage: Eukaryota; Fungi; Ascomycota; Sordariomycetes; Hypocreales; Nectriaceae
Description: eukaryotic LSU rRNA
Rfam family: 5.8S ribosomal RNA (bases 140-293)
Source: RNAcentral
AACUCAUCAACCCUGUGAACAUACCUAAACGUUGCUUCGGCGGGAAUAGACGGCCCCGUGAAACGGGCCGCCCCCGCCAGAGGACCCUUAACUCUGUUUCUAUAAUGUUUCUUCUGAGUAAAACAAGCAAAUAAAUUAAAACUUUCAACAACGGAUCUCUUGGCUCUGGCAUCGAUGAAGAACGCAGCGAAAUGCGAUAAGUAAUGUGAAUUGCAGAAUUCAGUGAAUCAUCGAAUCUUUGAACGCACAUUGCGCCCGCCAGUAUUCUGGCGGGCAUGCCUGUUCGAGCGUCAUUACAACCCUCAGGCCCCCGGGCCUGGCGUUGGGGAUCGGCGGAGCCCCCCGUGGGCACACGCCGUCCCCCAAAUACAGUGGCGGUCCCGCCGCAGCUUCCAUCGCGUAGUAGCUAACACCUCGCGACUGGAGAGCGGCGCGGCCACGCCGUAAAACACCCAACUCUUCUGAAGUUGACCUCGAAUCAGGUAGGAAUACCCGCUGAACUUAAGCAUAUCAAUAAGCGGAGGAA